UUUUCCGGUUGAUCCUGCCGGAGGCUACCGCUAUUGGAAUCCGAUUAAGCCAUGCGAGUCGAGAGAUUUCGGAUCUCGGCAGACGUCUCAGUAACACGUGGAUAAUCUGCCCUUGGGUGGGGGGAUAAUCUCGGUAACCUGAGCAUAAUACCCCAUAGGUCUAGGAUGCUGGAAUGCUUCUAGGCCCAAAGCUCCGGCGCCCAAGGAUGAGUCUGCGGCCUAUCAGGCUGUAGUGGGUGUAACGGACCCACUAACCUUCGACGGGUACGGGCCUUGAGAGAGGUUGCCCGGAGUUGGACUCUGAGACACGAGUCCAGGCCCUACGGGGUGCAGCAGGCGCGAAAACUUCACAAUGCGAGAAAUCGCGAUGAGGGGAUUCCAAGUGCCAGCACAUUGUGUUGGCUGUUCACCUGCCUAAAAAGCUGGUGAAGUAAGGGCCGGGUAAGACGGGUGCCAGCCGCCGCGGUAAUACCCGCGGCCCGAGUGGUGGCCACUGUUAUUGAGCCUAAAGCGUCCGUAGCCGGUCUAGUAAAUUUCUGGGUAAAUCGGGCGGCUUAACCGUCCGAAUUCCGGAAAGAAUGCUAGACUUGGGACCGGGAGAGGUUGGAGGUACUCCUGGGGUAGGGGUGAAAUCCUGUAAUCCUAGGGGGACCACCAGUGGCGAAGGCGUCCGACCAAAACGGCUCCGACGGUAAGGGACGAAGCCCUGGGGCGCAAACGGGAUUAGAUACCCCGGUAGUCCAGGGUGUAAACGCUGCAGGCUUGGUGUUGGGGGUCCUACGAGGGCGCCCAGUGCCGGAGAGAAGUUGUUAAGCCUGCCGCUUGGGGAGUACGUCCGCAAGGAUGAAACUAAAGGAAUGGCGGGGGCAGCACAGGCCAAGAGGCCGCGCUA
This 892-nucleotide ribosomal RNA is filed under the name uncultured archaeon. Its description in RNAcentral is "bacterial SSU rRNA". It matches the Rfam family "Archaeal small subunit ribosomal RNA", at positions 1 to 902 of the family's 1478-position model. The record is from RNAcentral.